Peromyscus maniculatus bairdii (prairie deer mouse) is the source of this 3746-nucleotide long non-coding RNA. RefSeq lists it as uncharacterized. NCBI's taxonomy places the organism in Eukaryota, Metazoa, Chordata, Mammalia, Rodentia, Cricetidae. The record is from RefSeq and is a predicted model, not a curated record.
CAUGGUGACACUUAGAAUGUCGGGGCCCCCUUAGUGGCAGGCAAAGAAAAAUUGGAUUGAUUUCACUGGGACCAUCGCUGCCAAACAAACAUAUUGGAUUCUCAGUUCUGUAAGAGUGUCUUGCUGCUGUUCCUGGCCUACAGAGGACAGCCAACACUUACUUCCUCAUGUAUGCCCUUCCCCCUCACAUCAGUAUCUUCUGUAUCAGCCAGUAAAUGAAUACCUGUGGAUCCUUGAGUGAAACGUGGCUAGGAGGAAAGUAUUCUGCUUUACACGGACUUAACAGCAGACAGCCAAAGCCAUCUGAACCCACGAUCUUCAUACCACCUCCUUUUCUACAACCUCUCAACGGUUAGUACAAUCCCUGUGCUCCUAAUGACAGAUGUGACUUGUGCCAUGUGGCAGUACACCCACUGGCCAUAAAAAUCUCAUCUAGCACCUGUAACCAAGUUCUGACUGCCAGGCAGCUAAGGAAUGACUCCACAUCACCUGCCGGAACUGCUUCCUAGGACAACUCUGGUGUUAAUGCUCUUAGAACGGGCUUCUCAACAAAACAGACUGUGAGGUAAAGACUUGAAUGUAUAUUUAUGGAAAGGAUUUUCAUCUGAGUCAUGCAUAUAAGAAAAUACUUGUCAGAGUGUAAGGGAGCAGGAUAGGCAAAGGGAGAAGCUGAAGAGCAAUGCACUUUUGACAGGUCAUUAAGCCAACCAACCUAUGAGAGAAGCUCUGAAGUCAGAGAUAGCUAGGCCUGAAUCAUUGCAGUAUUCAGCCAUAGGAUACAGACAGCUUGUGGAGUAGAAGUGCAUCUCUGUUGUGUGGUACUUCCUUUUGGUGAAAGGAAAAGCUUUCAAACAGUGAACAGUCCUUGCAAUUGUGUAUAUGUGUGUUGAUCUCAAAGAUUGAACUAUGUGAGAUACUAUGAGAUCUGGCCUGGACAAGAAGGUUGUUCUUCAAUGUCAGGCUCCUGAAGAAGAAGGUCCUGAACAAGCUAUGUCUUAUGCCAAGCAAGCUUACUAUGAAUCUUACAUAUUAUUUACCAGAGAGAAAAAUAGGACAGAGUAAGCAAAACAUCAUCAUACAACAGGACAAAGUCAGCAGGAAGCUGAUCAAGCAGUGUUGCACAAUGGGAACAUGGGACAUCACAAGUAUGUCACAACAACUGAGUGCUUAUCAGCCUUGGGGCUGAUAACUCCGGUCUCUUCAGGAGGAAAAGCCAAGUUCACUGGAACUCAAACUUCAGCACUUUUGAAAGCUCCAGACCUGAUUUUGCCAAGAUUACCCCUGAGCAAGGAUAUAAAACUAGGUUCCCUUUGUUUUUGCUCUUCUAUCAGGAUCUCUGAGUAAGUCUUGGAUCAACCUAGCUCUCAACAAAUCCAUUAAGCAUGGGUUUUUGCUUAGCUGUAGGAAGUUCAAUACCCUCAAAUGUAGAAUGUAAGAGGGAUAUGAAUGUAGAACCAGAUGUCUGAGGAGUUAUCAGAUCAAAAAGGGGUUUUGAUGAUAAAGGUAACUAACCUCCAAAGGUAACAAUACCCAAUAAGCACCAUGACAUAUAAAUCUGGAUUUCUGAGAAAAGAUAUUGGUACAGAAUUAUCCAAUGCAUGGAAUCAAGUUGAGAGUCACCAGGAAGUUGGAUCACUUGAGUCUGAGUUGAGGGUGUUUGAGCUCCACGUACAGUAGAGAAAAGGUCUUGGCCUAAUUACUUAGUACUCUGAACCCAAAUUUCCACAUCUGGUAUACCUUCCCAUGACUGUUACAAGGAAUGAAUAUGAAGAUUCACACAAAGUAGUUAAAUAGAGCUUGUCACACUAUAAGCUUUCAAUAGAUUCUACUUAUUAUUACCAUUAGUAUAUGAAUGGAAACUUAAAAGUGAAUGGAUAAAGGAGAAUUUGAAGAAGAAAAGGGGAAAGAUAACUGGAUAUUGUAGAUGGCGUGUGAGGUAAUGAAAGUAGACUGGAAAUCAGACUUCUGACUCUUUGCAUAAACUUUUUCCUGAUUACAUCCACCUAGAUGCCAAAUGGGCACCCUAGCUUCACUGACUAUAAAUUCAAAUUCAUUAGCUUUCCCUAAGUUUCCAUUGCUUCCAAUGCCUUCUAUUUUAGUGAAUGACAUUUCACUUUUCUCCUAGGCACUAUGGCCAGCUCCAAACUCCCAUUUCAAUACUGAUUUUCUAAAACUUGAGGAUUAGCCUCAUUAUUCCCCUCUAAGAAAAAUAUCUUCUCAACACUAACAUGCUACCCACCUCCAAAAUGUCUUACAAAUAUUUUUUCUGUGACCUUAGCAUGGAGAUUUCCUUGCUCCCACCUUUAUCUUGUAUAGUCUUGUCAGUGUGUGUGUGUGUGUGUGUGUGUGUGUGUGUGUGUGUGUGUAUGACCAUAUAAUGUCCAUGCUCUACAGUGGCCUUCUAUAAAGUCCAAAUUCCUUUGUGCUAACAAAGUCCUUAGAUAUCUGUCAUACAUGAGCUUAUGAAACAUUAAUCCUAUAAUCACUUUACACUCUCCCAACUUUCUGGACAUGUAUAACUAUCACAAGUUCCCCAAACUAGUUCUACUCCACCACUGCCCCCAAGUAUCUUGAUUUGUUCUCCAUAGGCUGGAAGAAACCAUCUCUUAGAUUUGCCACUCUUUUUAUCUUGUAUCUUCUCAUCAAAACAUAGUCCUCUCUCAAGCUCCACGUCAGCUAAUUUCUAAACAGUUGUCCAAACAAAUAUCACCUCUCUUCCUACUACACACAUGAUGCACCUGUCAUUUUGUUUGCCCUUUGCAUCGCCAACCGAUUUCUUGGCUUUUAAUUUCCGUGUGUUUUUCUCACAAGAGAAAGAAUGAAACCUCAUCACAGAAUGUAUAAAAUCUCUAUUGCAAUGUGGUAGAGAAGUCAUUGGGCAUUUGAAGUUACUGAGCCCCUACAUUGUACCUUGUGGGCUGGUAAACAGAGCGCUUGCCCAGCAUACCUGCACUGGGUUCAUUUCUCCAGCAUCACCAAGGUAGAGGCAGAAAAAAAAACAAAGAAUAGGGGAGAAGAUGGCUCAGGGAAUAAGAGAAUUUGCUGGACAAGUGUGAGGAUAUGACUUUAAAUCCCCAGGACCCUCAUAAAAAAUAAAACAUGGACAUAUAUGCCAAUAACUCCAGGGUUGGCACGUAUAGACAGAAAACCCCUGGAGCUUAAUGGCCAGCUAGCUGAGCAAAAUAGCAAGUUUCAAGUUCGAUGAGUCUUAAGAGACUGGGGUAGAACAUGAUAGAGCAGAGCAUUCAACAUCUUCCUUUGGCCUCUUCCUGUUUUCAUAGGCAUGUAUACCCACAUACACACCACACACCACACACACACACACACACACACACACACACACACACACAAUGCAGCUUCUCUGAAUUAAAAAUAUACUUACUUAAAAAUGUGCACCUUAAUUUAAAGGUCUACUAUUGAAAGAUAAUGUAAAAAUCUCAUUAACAAAAGUUAUGUUGCUUAUAUGCUGCCCUAGUUAGCUUUGUUAAGUUGAUACAGCCUAGAGAUAUCUAUGAGGAAAGCCUCCAUUGAGGAAUUGCCUUAAUCAAAUUGGCCUGUAGGCAUGUUUGUGGGGCAUCACAUUAUCAACUAAAUGUAGGAGGGUGAUAUUCCUAGGCUAAAAGCUAUCUAAACAGGAGUCCAGUGAGAGAGCCUGAAAGCAGCAUUCUUCCAUGGCUUCUGCUUUGCUUCCUUGUCUGUGAGUGAGCUCCUGUUGAGUUCCUGCCCUGACUUCCCUCAAUGGUGGA